AAACAUGAAGCUCAAAGCAUUAAUGGGAGGGCUGUCUCUCAAUGAAUUGGACGGUUUUGAGGAGGAGCUAGAAGAGGAACUUGAAACCGAG
RNAcentral lists this non-coding RNA (91 nucleotides) under Bigelowiella natans. Lineage: Eukaryota; Cercozoa; Chlorarachniophyceae. The record is from RNAcentral.